This 489-nucleotide ribosomal RNA is filed under the name uncultured bacterium. RNAcentral describes it as "partial 16S ribosomal RNA". It matches the Rfam family "Bacterial small subunit ribosomal RNA", at positions 30 to 507 of the family's 1533-position model. The record is from RNAcentral.
AUUGAACGCUGGCGGCAGGCCUAACACAUGCAAGUCGAACGGUAACAGGAAGAAGCUUGCUUCUUUGCUGACGAGUGGCGGACGGGUGAGUAAUGUCUGGGAAACUGCCUGAUGGAGGGGGAUAACUACUGGAAACGGUAGCUAAUACCGCAUAACGUCGCAAGACCAAAGAGGGGGACCUUCGUGCCUCUUGCCAUCGGAUGUGCCCAGAUGGGAUUAGCUAGUAGGUGGGGUAACGGCUCACCUAGGCGACGGUCCCUAGCUGGUCUGAGAGGAUGACCAGCCACAGUGAAGGUGAGACGCGACCCAGGCUCCGACGUGAGGCAGCGGUGGGGAAUAUAGCACACAGGGCGCAAGCCUGAUGCAGCCAUGCCCGUGUAUGAAGAAGGCCUUCGGGUUGUAAAGUACUUUCAGCGGGGAGGAAGGGAGUAAAGUUGAUACCUUUGCUCAUUGACGUUACCCGCAGAAGAAGCACCGGCUAACUCCGUG